AGUGUGGUUUACUAAACACCCAGGAUUUUUGGUUUAAAGCCGGCCCCAUUGAAAAAGGGGCUGAAGUGUCCCCGGGUUGGGUGCCCCGCGCCCAGAAAUUGCCGGGGGCUAAACUUUUACCCAACAUUUUGAAUAACCCCUUUAGAGGUUCGUGGUAGGAGGGCGUUCUAAGGGCGGUGAAGUCAGACCGGAAGGACUGGUGGAGCGCUUAGAAGGGAGAAUGCCGGUAUGGGUAGCGAAAGAAGGGUGAGAAUCCCUUCCACCGAAUAUCUAAGGUUUCCUGAGGAAGGCUCGUCCGCUCAGGGUUAGUCGGGACCUAAGCCGGGGCCGAGGGGCGUAGGCUAGGGCCACAAGGUGAAGAUUCCUGUCCAGUGGCUAAUGUUUUAACGGAUGGGGGGCACCAGAGGGAUAGGAAAUGGCACGAAGGGAA
This 430-nucleotide ribosomal RNA is filed under the name Listeria monocytogenes ATCC 19115. RNAcentral describes it as "partial 23S ribosomal RNA". It matches the Rfam family "Bacterial large subunit ribosomal RNA", at positions 1074 to 1503 of the family's 2925-position model. Lineage: Bacteria; Bacillati; Bacillota; Bacilli; Caryophanales; Listeriaceae. The record is from RNAcentral.